This is a long non-coding RNA of Seriola aureovittata, 328 nucleotides long. RefSeq lists it as uncharacterized. The record is from RefSeq and is a predicted model, not a curated record. Lineage: Eukaryota; Metazoa; Chordata; Actinopteri; Carangiformes; Carangidae. The transcript has 2 exons.
CUCCUGACUUCUUCACCCAGAAGUCUCCAGAAUAAACUGAGAUUGGACAGUUUGAACAGAGCCAUUAAACCUGAAACAAGUACAAGUCAAUGUGUUCGUCUGUCGCUCAGUAGUUUCCGGUUCCUACAGCAGAGAUAGCAACAACCUUUACAGCAGCAGUCGGUGUCUGUGGACUUUCUCAGCCCUGGGUUUUACCUCUCAGGCUGCACUCAACCUCUGAUUGGUGGAGGUUGUUCUGGCUCCAUCCAACCACAAAGGAAGACCUGAGACUCUACUGCCUCCUUCACUGUGUUUUCAUUGUGAUAAAAUAAAGUUACAUUUGAAUUUA